AUGGUGGCCGGCAGGGUCAAGGCGGCCAUGGGCUUCCAGCGCAGCCCGGCCACGCCCAAGACCUCCUCCUCCCGCAAGGCACCGGCACCGCCACCGUCGCAGAACACCGCCCCCGUCCCGGCGGCGGCGCGGCGGCCCUCGGGCCAGUGCUCGCCCGCGCCGCCCAGCUCGGGGGGCAAGGGCGGCGGCGGCGGCUCCUUCGCGCGCUCCUUCGGGGUCUACUUCCCGCGCUCCUCCGCGCAGGUGCAGCCGGCGCGCGCGGCCACGGCGCCGGACGCCGCCGAGCUCGCCCGCCUCGUCGAGGAGCUGCAGGAGCGCGAGUCCCGCCUGCGCACCGAGCUGCUCGAGCACAAGAUCCUCAAGGAGACCGUCGUCAUCGUGCCCUUCCUCGAGACCGAGCUCGGCCGGUGCCGGGACGCCAUGUCGCGGCUCCAGGCAGAGAACGCACGCCUGCGCGCCGAGCUCGACGCCGCCGUGGCGAAUGUCUCCAGUAAAGAGCAGAGGAUUGCCGAGAUGGAGAGGCGGAUGGCGGAGAUGGCGAGGCCGCCGCAGCGUGGUGGCGCCGACGAUUGCUCGUCGUCGGACGGCUCCACCAAGGCGGGAGGAGGCGACACGGCGGCCAAGCCAGCGAGCAAGCCCGUUCUCCCUCCUCCACCACCACCUCCGCCGCCUCCAAUGCGGACACACGCCAAGCCCAAGUCGUACUUCUCCGGCUCGUCCCGCGCCUCGCCGGCCACCUCCUCCUCGUCCGGCUCGUCCACGCCGUCCUGCUCCUCCGACACGGCGGCAUCCACGGGCCGCAAGCCGGAGCUCUCCAAGCUGCCCCCGAUACCCCCGCCACCGCCGCCGCCGCCCCCACCGUCAAUGCCGGCGCGAGCAACCCGGAGCGCGAGCGCGAGCUCGUCGCCGUCGACCUCAAGCGGCGCGGCGCCGGCGCCCCCGCCCCCGCCUCCCCCACCACCCCCUUCUGGCCCGUGCGUGCGGCGCGUCCCGGAGGUCGUCGAGUUCUACCACUCGCUGAUGCGGCGCGACUCCAAGAGGGACUGCGGGGGCGGCGCGUGCCCCGAGGCCGGCGGUACGGGCGGCUCCGGCGCCGCGAACGCCCGGGACAUGAUCGGCGAGAUCGAGAACCGCUCCUCGCACCUCAUCGCGAUCAGGUCGGACGUGGAGAGGCAGGGCGACUUCAUCCGCUUCCUCAUCAAGGAGGUGGAGGGCGCCGCGUUCGCCGACAUCGACGACGUCGUCACCUUCGUCAAGUGGCUCGACGUCGAGCUCUCACGCCUCGUGGAUGAACGGGCAGUGCUCAAGCACUUCGACUGGCCGGAGCAGAAGGCGGACGCGCUCCGCGAGGCGGCGUUCGGCUACCGCGACCUCAAGAAGGUCGAGGCAGAGGCCGCGUCAUUCUGCGACGAUCCGCGGCAGCCCUGCGCUUCUGCUCUCAAGAAGAUGCAGGCCCUCUUUGAGAAGUUGGAGCAUGGGGUGUACAGCCUGUCCCGUGUGCGCGACGGCGCCAUGAACCGGUACCGCGGGUUCCAGAUCCCAUGGGAGUGGAUGCAGGACACCGGAAUUGUCAGUCAGAUAAAAAUUCAGUCAGUGAAACUAGCAAGGAAGUAUCUGAGAAGGGUUUCCUCCGAGCUCGAGGCCACGCAGGGCGGCCCCGACGAAGAAGAGCUCAUGCUCCAGGGAGUCCGGUUCGCCUUUAGAGUGCACCAGUUCGCGGGCGGAUUCGACGGCGACACGAUGCGGGCCUUCCAGGAGAUCAAGGAGAAGGCGAACGCGCUCCAGUCACAGCGCGAUCAGCAGCACCUGCAACAGCAAAGGCUCGCCGCUGGCAGAAGCUGA
RNAcentral lists this ribosomal RNA (1842 nucleotides) under Triticum aestivum (bread wheat). Its description in RNAcentral is "partial small subunit ribosomal RNA". The record is from RNAcentral. Lineage: Eukaryota; Viridiplantae; Streptophyta; Magnoliopsida; Poales; Poaceae.